RNAcentral lists this ribosomal RNA (478 nucleotides) under uncultured bacterium. RNAcentral describes it as "partial 16S ribosomal RNA". It matches the Rfam family "Bacterial small subunit ribosomal RNA", at positions 28 to 523 of the family's 1533-position model. The record is from RNAcentral.
GACGAACGCUGGCGGCGUGCUUAACACAUGCAAGUCGAACGGUAAGGCCCUUCGGGGUACACGAGUGGCGAACGGGUGAGUAACACGUGGGUGAUCUGCCCUGCACUUUGGGAUAAGCCUGGGAAACUGGGUCUAAUACCGGAUAGGACCAUUCGCUUCACGGUGUGUGGUGGAAAGCUUUUGCGGUGUGGGAUGGGCCCGCGGCCUAUCAGCUUGUUGGUGGGGUAAUGGCCUACCAAGGCGACGACGGGUAGCCGGCCUGAGAGGGUGACCGGCCACACUGGGACUGAGAUACGGCCCAGACGCCUACGGGAGGCAGCAGUGGGGAAUAUUGCACAAUGGGCGCAAGCCUGAUGCAGCGACGCCGCGUGAGGGAUGACGGCCUUCGGGUUGUAAACCUCUUUCAGUAGGGACGAAGCGCAAGUGACGGUACCUACAGAAGAAGGACCGGCCAACUACGUGCCAGCCGCCGCCGUAA